UUUCCCUUUCCCUUUCCCUUUCCUUUUCCCUUUUCCGACUCGUCCUCUCUCUGUCUGUUCAUGCAACUUCUUCGGGGGUACGAUGCAUCGUGGAUCGCGUUAUCACGCGCGCAUCUAACCUCCGAGAAGUGGAAGACUACGCUUUGUCGGCACAGCGUGCCAACUAAGCGACCGAGCAAAGUGAACCCGGAUAGUGUAUGGACGUACGUGUAUACCUCGAAACGUCGCUUUAAGCCGGGGAAUCCAUUUUGUAAUCAAAUGGCUCAUCGUUCGAGCUCGUUCUCGUUGGCGACUGUUGUUUGUCUAUCGUCGAUGUCAAAAAGGGACACUUUCGUCUUCGUGUUUUGCUGCACCACGCCCCCCCCCCCGCAAAAGGGAAAAAAAUAGCGGUGCGUAAACUCGCCUGUCUGACGAAGAAGCCUUGAAACUACGGCAGUGUCAGAAUCAGUUUGCCAAGUUUCCCUACCGACGAGGACAUCGAACUGUUCUUUGAAAAAUGGGAAAACCAUGGGAAUCUUUUGUUUUUUUUUGAACGCGGAGUCAUAAAGCUGCCUGAAAGAUGACGAAAGCAACGCGAUCAAUGGAAAUAAACGAAUCGGCGAGCCGAGAGAGUGCGUUGUCUCACGCGACAAAGCAACGCCGGCCAAGCAACGUUUAUGUCGUCGAAGGAAUCAUAGCAAGUGGCAGUAUACAUACACGUGCAUACGUCUUCCUUUCAACGGGGAAAGGAUGUUUGCUGCGUCUAGCGCGUGCAUGUCCAACCUUUUAGAUCUUCCGGGCCUCGUUGGCCAAUAAAUUAUUAUUUAUCAAUAAAUUAUUAUUCAUUCGCGCGGAUGAUUCGAAACAACUUUUUACAGUAGAACGAUACAUCGAUUAGAAAAAUAUAUUUAUAUUAAUUCUAAAAAUAUUAAAUAUUUAAGAAACAUUACACAAAGCGCACAAAGUGCUGAAUAUUGUUCUUUUUAGGGCAGUUAGCGUUGUUUAUAAAAGAUUGUCUAACAAAUUGCAGCUCGACACAUUCCAUUUGUAUGUUCAUUGGCAACAUAUUCGGACAACAACCGAGAAUGGAGGUAGCAAGUAGGCCAAUCGUCUAAGAUCAAACAUAUUUCGUAGUUGUUCGUAAUUGGUCGCAUUCGUAAUUAAAACGCCUAAAUUAAAGAAAAGGGUACGAUUAUUCGUGGUUGAAAUUAUUCGAGUAAUAAAAAUAAUCCUCAUUCAAUUGUACCAAUUACCGUUUAUAUAGCGGGCGUCACGAGUUGGACACGCCUGGUUUCGACCGUUUCCCUUCCACGCGUGUACGACACUCACGAAUCAAAAUCAGCGUCGUUCGUACGUUAUUUUUCACUCAUCGUCCCAGUUUCAAUUACACCGUUUGCGUACACCGUACGCCUGUUGUGUCCCUAGAACGAGACGUAAAAUUACAUUUUAUCCGGAAAGUAUUGAUUUUAGGUUCAACGUUGGUUAAGCACGUUUUGCUGCUCUCGGUACGAGAGCACCGGUAUGAACACGAAUCCCCGACUCGACCCGGUCGCCUUCGAUACCUUGCCCGAGUGUUUCGACUCGAAUUUUCAAAAGUUUCUUUAAAGAUUGCGAUUGAAACACA
Molecule: long non-coding RNA, 1603 nt
Organism: Frieseomelitta varia
Lineage: Eukaryota; Metazoa; Arthropoda; Insecta; Hymenoptera; Apidae
Exons: 3
Source: RefSeq, a predicted model, not a curated record